GAUGACCAGAUUAUUAUAAUCUCAUAAUCUGCUCUACCCCAGCUAAAAUGAGAUUAUGGAUUACAAAUGACGUGUUACCCUUGUAAACUUCAAGAGAAUUACGCAGUGCCACCGCCACUUUCCUUUUUUUCCUUGUAAACAGAGGGCAAACAUGUCAUUGUACAAUUUAAAAGCUGGUCUACAGUUUAUAUAAUCUGGCCUCCAAACAUG
Molecule: long non-coding RNA, 210 nt
Filed under: Hordeum vulgare
Lineage: Eukaryota; Viridiplantae; Streptophyta; Magnoliopsida; Poales; Poaceae
Description: long non-coding RNA (HVUL_LNC016991)
Source: RNAcentral